This 23-nucleotide non-coding RNA is filed under the name Arabidopsis thaliana (thale cress). The record is from RNAcentral. Lineage: Eukaryota; Viridiplantae; Streptophyta; Magnoliopsida; Brassicales; Brassicaceae.
GAAAGCCUAUAGCGAAACCAUAU